CCUACGGGGGACAGCAGUGGGGAAUAUUGGGCAAUGGGCGCAAGCCUGACCCAGCAACGCCGCGUGAAGGAAGAAGGCUGUCGGGUUGUAAACUUCUUUUCUGAGGGACGAAGAAAGUGACGGUACCUCAGGAAUAAGCCACGGCUAACUACGGGCCAGCAGCCGCGGAAAUACGUAGGGGGCAAGCGAAAUCCGGAGAGAUGGGGUGAAAAGGGCGUGUAGGCGGGAAAGCAAGUCAGAUGUGAAAACUCAGGGCUCAACCCUGAGCCUGCAUUUGAAACUGUUUUUCUUGAGUGCUGGAUAGGCAAUCGGACUUCCGUGUGUAGCGGUGACUUGCGUAGAUAUAC
RNAcentral lists this ribosomal RNA (347 nucleotides) under uncultured bacterium. RNAcentral's name for it is "partial 16S ribosomal RNA". It matches the Rfam family "Bacterial small subunit ribosomal RNA", at positions 338 to 699 of the family's 1533-position model. The record is from RNAcentral.